Molecule: ribosomal RNA, 248 nt
Filed under: uncultured bacterium
Lineage: Bacteria
Description: partial 16S ribosomal RNA
Rfam family: Bacterial small subunit ribosomal RNA
Source: RNAcentral
GCAAGUCGAACGGCAGCACGGGAGCCAUCCUGGUGGCGAGUGGCGAACGGGUGAGUAAUCUAUCGGAACGUGCCCAGCCGUGGGGGAUAACGCAGCGAAAGCUGUGCUAAUACCGCAUACGAUCUCUGGAUGAAAGCGGGGGACUCGCAAGGGCCUCGCGCGAUUGGAGAGGCCGAGAUCAGAUUAGCUAGUUGGUGGGGUAAAAGCCCACCAAGGCGACGAUCUGUAGCUGGUCUGAGAGGAUGACC